Molecule: ribosomal RNA, 468 nt
Filed under: Triticum aestivum (bread wheat)
Lineage: Eukaryota; Viridiplantae; Streptophyta; Magnoliopsida; Poales; Poaceae
Description: partial small subunit ribosomal RNA
Source: RNAcentral
AUGCAGAUUGUGGUCUGCAUCGACGACAUCUGGAAGAUGGUGGAUCUGGGUUCGUGGUUCGUGGCAGGCAGGUAUGGUUUCCUCCUCCAACGUCUUAGUUGCGCGGGGGUGCCGGAUCUGGAGUUUGAUGGCGUGUCCGGGGUGUUGCCUCGGUCUGAUUCGUUCAACGGCAAUGACUUCGCCUUUAUUGGCGAGCCACCUUGGAGGUCCGCAAAGCUGCAUAUCAGCGAUGGAGCCGCGUCGAGCUCGGCUGUGGAGGUGAUCCGUCAUUUUCUCCUUUGGUGGCUGCUAUGGUGGUGCCAGAGGCAGGUGACGGGCGUUGGUGUCAAGCUCAGAGGAUUCUUCAGUCUUGUUUGUAAUUUUACUUCUUGGUUGGUGUUCCUGUGUGUAAAGGCUAGCGUUCUGCUGUCUUUCCAGAUUUGUCCGAUCGGUAUGUACGUGGCUUGUACUAUGAGCCUUAUGAUAUAA